RNAcentral lists this ribosomal RNA (407 nucleotides) under uncultured prokaryote. RNAcentral's name for it is "bacterial SSU rRNA". It matches the Rfam family "Bacterial small subunit ribosomal RNA", at positions 355 to 774 of the family's 1533-position model. The record is from RNAcentral.
UGGGGACUAUUGCACAAUGGGCGAAAGCCUGAUGCAGCAACGCCGCGUGCGGGAUGACGGCCUUCGGGUUGUAAACCGCUUUCAGCAGGGACGAAGGGUUUCUGACGGUACCUGCAGAAGAAGCACCGGCUAACUCCGUGCCAGAAGCCGCGGUGAUACGUAGUGUGCGAGCGUUGUCCGGAAUUCUUGGGCGUAAAGAGCUCGUAGGCGGUCUGUCACGUCGGAAGUGAAAACUCAGGGCUUAACCCUUAGCCUGCUUUCGAUACGGGCAGACUAGAGGAAGGUAGGGGAGAACGGAACUCCUGGUGGAGCGGUGGAAUGCGCAGAUAUCAGGAAGAACACCGGUGGCGAAGGCGGUUCUCUGGACCUUUCCUGACGCUGAGGAGCGAAAGCGUGGGGAGCAAACA